AAAAUUUAGAGGAAUGGGAUGAUGGGAAAUAGGCCCUCACGUGAUAGGCAAGCGGUAGAUUUUACUCGGCUCGCUUCGGUGGCUUCGGUUUCGUCUGCUGCGGGGUUUCGGAAUAUGCGCACAUACUCGGCGUGGCAAACGCGCGCCGAGGUUAGUGAAGGAAUUCGAGUGUGUGAAGCAGUUGAGUCUCGCCGCUUAAUUAGCAGACAGGCGCCAAGGCUGUUGCGAACGAAGGCGUCGGUUAACCGGCAUUGCGCCGAACAACCCGGGAGGACCACCUCAAGGACGACUGGUUGCGUUUCGGUGUGGUUUCAGGGAAACGAGGGAACCUUUCGCCCUGCAAACGUGUGAAGGCAACCAAGCCGCCCUUCCGACGACGAUUCGUUGCGUUUGACGACGUCUUCUGGGAAACAAUGAUGCUUUUCGCCCCCGCAAAAUGUGCACGCGAUUAAGCGAGCGUACAGGGUCCGAAGCGACUGUCCCUACGGGAAAAAAAUGCGUCCCGUCUUGUGCCCAAGGAUGGACUGGCGAGCCGGAGACUCCGAACAUAUUUAGGGCCGUGCCGGCCCGUAGCGCAGUCGACACUGUUGCUCGAGAUCUGCUCAAAGUCUUCGGCCUCUUAGCAGACCGGCGAGAACUCCCGUCAGCAGUAGGCGCACCUGCGUGAUGAAGUGCUGUGUGCCAGGAUGCCCUAAUCGAACAGAAAAUCGGCGCGAUGGCCUGUCCUUCCAUAGACGCUUGCAAAGGACGAUGCCACAGCAAUGAGUCAACCUUAAAGUGAAGCAGCUACAUCCACGGGAACAUAACAGCAUCAAGUUGAGCCAGUAAGUUGAUGCACAGCUGUAUGCAGCCAUAAUGCAUGUUUCCAGUUUGAUCAUACCUUUUUCAUGACUGUGGUAGAUGUCCCCCACCAUUCCUGAAGUGAAAUAUGCUUUUCUUAUAUUCAGGCAGGUCUCUCUCAAGCCACAAUGGAUAUGGACAUCUCUGAGGGCUUGUCUGAUUGAUGUGCUAGCAGAGGGUACUGCUACAUCUGCUAGCGCGUCCUUGACUGAUUCAGACAUCGCUGAUGAGCCUUCCGAAAUCCAACAUGUCCUGGCAUGUUUGAUUGUCGUAAUGAUCACAGAGCUUGCUUAAGACAUUUUCUCACAUGUGUGCCUUGGUUCAUUCAUGUUCUGAUCUGCUUUGCAAAAAUCUGGUGUUUCCCUGUAAUAUAUAUUUCGGAUUUCACCUUUAAAGUAAUUAUUGUAGUUUCAAAAAUGCAUAUGAGACUGUCAUACAGCUUUUUGUAAGACGUUUUCGACAGAGUUAAAAGAUCUAUUAGUAAUGCUCAGAAUGAAGAGAAAGAUAGAACUGUUCAACCUAUCAUCGGCUACAUUACAGCCCUUUUUUGACACAGGUGACAAGCAUACUGCGUUCAAAUUUCAUUGUUAACACUGGCAAAAGCAAGUGCUAAUGAAUGAAAGCCAUAUAUGCUACAUCAUAACCUCAUUUUAGUCAAUCUAGGAUAAGUACAAGAUAAGGAAAAUAAAACAAACUGCAGCAAAGCAGUGUUAUGUAAGAUGAAAAACCACUUUUUUUCAGUAAAGUUGGAAUAAGGAAAACACACUCCUUCUCUGAAUUAUACUUCAGCCAUGUCCUCUCAUUACACACAUAAUUAACACCCUUGCUAGGCUCCAACAUUUACAACAGUAAUAAAAUUUAUAACAUGCCAACUGUGCUGGUAAGCUUUAUCAACAUUUUUUGGGACAGUAGAUAAAAAAUACAGUAUAUAGCCACAGCCACUGAUCUCCCUAACAAUGUCCUGCUUGCUGGUCAUUAUUGUGCUUAAAUUUUAAAUGAAGCCAAUGGUGUCGCUAUUAGUCCCGGGUUUUAGCUUCAACUGUGCAUCUGGUGUUUCGUUUGCACGGUCAGCAAUUUCAAGUUAUGUUGCAGUAAGCAGUCCCUCCUCAUUGCACUUGGUGUAUUUUGUCCAGUCUCCCAGUCCAAGGCCCUCCAGGACGCUCAAGGGUGAAGCUUCUGCAGCACUGCCUACACACAACCCAGCGACACCUCGAACAGCAAGGCAUACUAUGCCACAGCCAGCAGAAGACGCACCUGAAAAGGCCUUUCUGAGGCAUGAAGUAUGGCGUUACACAAUUACAAACUGCGACCAAGAAGAAGAUGAAGACUCUACGGCAAUCCCAUCAACAGCUUUUUCAAAAGGUUGCUCAUCUCGAAAAUGUCAUAGAAGAUUUAUCUGACAAUCGCAUUCUAGGAAAUGAGGAUGUCGCCAUAUUGCAGAGUCUUGGUGGGGCAAAAAAAGACUUGCUCAUGCGUCAACUGCCACAUAAGUCUGGUGCCAGCAAUGUCACCCGCUUACUCGCCAGAGCUCAGGCCAUUUGCACUGACUUUGCAUUUUUAUUCCCCUAGAGCAUACAGAUAUGUACGAGCUGUUUUCAACACAUGCCUCCCGCAUCCAAAGACACUGUGUAAAUGAUAUCAAUCCAUUGAUAGGGCUGCUGACUUUUCAAAAGAGGCAAUGACUGCAUUGGCUAUCAAGGUAAAGCACGGCUCUCCACAUUAUGCAAUCUGGUUGUGGAUGAGAUGGCCAUUCAAAGUAGUGUGGGAUGGGAAAAGCUUCCAUGGAUAUGUUGACAUGGGCAUUGAUGUCAAUGAUGACAGCUUUCCAGUUGCCUAAGAUGCAUUUGUUUUAAUGCUUGUUGCAAUCAAUGGCAGAUGGAAGCUGCCGAUUGGCUACUUUCUAGUGCAUGGCCUUGGUGGUGAGCAGAGGCGCAAUUUGGUGCUGCAAGCUGCUAGCUUCACUCACGAAAAAGGUGCACACAUUGUGAGUUUGACCUGCGAUGGCGCUGCAGCGAAUUUGUCAUUGCUGCACAGCCUUGGCUGCAAGAUGGACCUGACUGAGCUGGAUGCUUCUUUUCCACAUCCAGUGACAAAAAAAGCUUUUCUUUGCCAUGUUGGAUCCCUGUCACAUGUUGAAGCUACUGCGGCACACCCUGUUUGAUAAAAAGGCUAUUGUGAUACGAACAAACAGUUCAUAUUGUUGAAACACAUUGAUGAGCUGCAUGAAAUCCAGUACACAGAGGGCCUACAUUUGGCAAACAAACUUAGACAAGCACAUAUUACCUGGAAAAACCAGCCCAUGAAAGUCUCAUUGUUGGCUCAAACGUUUAGUCAAUCGGUAGCAGAUGCUCUUAGUGACUGCAGAGCUCAAAAAAAUUCAAAAUUUUCAAAUUCCUUGCCAACAGAAGAGUUUAUCAGACAUGUCAACAACGCAUUUGACAUUUUAAAUUCAAGACAUCCAAGGCAAGAAGAAUAGAAAGGACCGCUGUGUCCUGAAAAUGUGGCUCCUGUCACUGCGUAUGUCAAAGAACUUAUGGCCUACUUUUGCUCGCUUAGGGAGUCUGCAGCUGGUAAACUAAUGACAGGGACCAACCAAAAGACAGGCUUCAUUCGCUUUGUGGUGUGCUUAGACAACCGUCUAUACAACCACUUGGUUACAGAAAAUGGCCUAUUGGCAUAUCUUCCGACUUCCAAGCUCAGUCAGGACCACCUUGAGUUACUUUUUGCUGCAAUAAAAUCAUUUGGGGGCUGCAAUGACAACCCAACAGCAAAGCAGUUUGCAGCAGCAUUGAAGCGUCUGAUAGUUCGUAAUGAGGUCAAGGACAUUGAUGGCGGAAAUUGCUUUCUAUUGGAACACAUCGAAAUUCUCUUUGUACGCUCCUCUGAAAAAACCAUACUCCAUCGAUGUAAUUAACCUCACUGCCCCUCAGAGAAGCCCUGCAGCCAGUGAACCACUCACAGAAGCAAUUUUACAGGAUCAUGGUUACUCUGCUGACCCAGGCAGGGUGUCUGAGCUUGGGUGCCUGCGGCUCGCAGUACUGGAAGAAUUGCUACACAAGUUUUCUCGUGGGUGAAUUAUGUUCAUGAUGGCCCACACAAUUAAUUCCUUUAUCCAUCAACUUCAGCUGUCCCACCAGGUUUUAUGUUAAGGCAUUUGUUUUUUGAGUGACUUUGUAAAGUGCAUAUAUUGUUCAAGAGCGUUGUAUGCAGAUGUCAAACUUUUAUAGAGGGAAAAUGUGAUACCUUAUUGUAAAUUCUGCAAGUACAUGUUUGUUGUCUUGCUGAAUGCUGUAGCUUGAAUCACCUGCAUGCAAAUUAUGCUUAAACAAUUGUUCUGUUCAGCCCAAGCUAAACAGUGUGGACAAUGACGGUAGGUUAGCUGGCCUACCUUUCACUAGAGCAAACUGUGUGAUGACAUGGACAUGCUGUGAAUGCUCUCAAUGGAUUAUGUGUGAGCUAGGUAUACGCUUGAGGAUGACAAUGUUUUUUUAAUGUUUAUCCUGUAUGUCUUUUACCUGACCUUUGUGGAAAUUUGCCACUGCCACCUGGAAUACCGUUGGUGUUACUAUUUUUUAAAUAAUUUAAUGUGCUCACUCUGUUCACUUGCUUUACAAUAGCCUUUUAUGAUGCCAGAUUCACUGUAACCACAAACAUUUGGUGUAUACCACUCAAUGAGUGUUUUAAAUACCGUGAAAUAUUCAUUCAUUUGAGGUUCACAACGUAAUAGAGCCGUCGCGUCCUAAUUUUGCGGUGUGUUGGCUCAGCUUCGACGGUGCUAACUUUUUUGUAGGUAUGUGAUACAACAUAAGCUUUGUUGUACAUUUUACUUGCAGCAAAAUGCAUUGUAUUUUAAUGUUGACAUACUUAGUUUGUGGGUCUGACCUCACAUCAAUUCUUUCAACUUUGACUUUGUGAACUACCACUCUUUUUUUAAUUUCUGCAUAUGUAUUGCUUACUUUUCUGACAAGCACAAUCACCGAAGCCUUUCGAUAUUUGUGAGGACAGCGCAGAUAUAAAUAUUAUACAAUUAUAGCCCUGUAUUGAAGGCGUUGCAUACAAGGCAUUGUAAGCAAAACUGCAGCUACAUUCAAGGACAGCUGAUCCCAUUGACCAGUUUUAUUAAAGGUAUCAAUACUACGUGUGAUAUAGUUUACUUUGUAUAACAUUAUUAUACAAAUGCCCUGUGGCAUACAAGUAUGCUAAUACUGAUACCGAAGAGCAGUGGCACAAUAAGUUUUCCUACUUGCUGUUUAUAAUUUUCUUUUGUGUAUUAUCUUUGCAAUGUACUUCAUUUAAAUUAUAAAUGUGGCUUCCUUCUGUAUUUGUGUGAAAUCUUCUGGCUUCUAUAGGUGCAAUAAACACUGAAUAAAGAAUGAAACAAUUACUGUUGUCAUAAAAAUGUGCUUUCCAUAGUACAAGUACACCAGCAACACAAUGAAUCCACAAGUGCAAAUGAAUGCUGCCAUUUUUCCCUUGCCGCUAUGUAUUCAGUUUUCAUGCCGUUUCACACUAGCAGAGGAAGAAGGGUCCCCCUGGCAGUGUUUGAUUCUAGGACAUAAUUAUGCUGUGGGGCUAUACUCGCAUUCGGAAACAGCUGAAUAAACUCUAGAUAAUGCACAAAUUCCGUCCAUUUGCUUUAUUAUAUAACGAAAAUGGAUCCCCGAGGCGCGUCUCAACAGCGUCGUCGCACCACACAAUCUUGCAAAAUAGUACACGUAAAUCUGAAUAAACGGCGAUCACUUCGGCCUUUAGGAUGCAGGCUAAUGCUAUUUAUUUCUCUCAAAAUGAAACAUGCCCACCAGAGCCUUUUAUUAAGCGAAAAUGCGACAAAAAAGUGUCCUUCAAAACAUCUCGUUUCUUCCUAGGUGCAAGACAGCGUGACAAAAAUUAUUUCUCUCAAAAUAAAACACGCAGACCAGCCUUUUAUUAAGCGAAAAUGCGACAAAAAAAGUGUCCCUCAAAACAUCUCGUUUCUUUCUAGGUGCAAGACAGCGGGACGAAAAAUUAGCAAGAUAAUACGCACC
Dermacentor silvarum is the source of this 5864-nucleotide long non-coding RNA. RefSeq lists it as uncharacterized. Lineage: Eukaryota; Metazoa; Arthropoda; Arachnida; Ixodida; Ixodidae. The record is from RefSeq and is a predicted model, not a curated record. The transcript is spliced from 3 exons.